UUUUAUCUAAAUUUUCUAAGGUUUUUUCUAUCCAUAUUAAUUUUUCUUUUAGGUCUUCCAUUAUUUUCCUAAUUCGGUUUCUAUAAUUAAUUUCAUUAUUUAGAUUUUCUUGAUUUUCUCUAGUUUGUCUAAUAUAUUCUAACAUUUUUUAAUCUGAAUAAUAUCCUUCUGGGUAAAUUUCUUCGUAUAACUGUUCUAGACAAUUUAUAGUUUCAAUUUCGUAGUCUAUUACUUUUUCUAAUAUUAUUUUCUUAAUAUCUAUUAUUUCUAUAUCUUUGUAGUGAGUUUUUUAAAUUAUAUAAACUAUCACAUGUACUUUUAUCUAAAUUUUCUAAGGUUUUUUCUAUCCAUAUUAAUUUUUCUUUUAGGUCUUUCAUUAUUUGUCUAAUUCGGUUUCUAUAAUUAAUUUCAUUAUUUAGAUUUUCUUGAUUUUCUCUAGUUUGUCUAAUAUAUUCUAACAUUUUUUAAUCUGAAUAAUAUCCUUCUGGGUAAAUUUCUUCGUAUAACUGUUCUAGAUAAUUUAUAGUUUCAAUUUCGUAGUCUAUUACUUUUUCUAAUAUUAUUUUCUUAAUAUCUAUAAUUUCUAUGUUUUUAAGUAUAUAUAAUAUUAAAAUUUUAAGAUAAUCUAAAUGAUCUAUUUUUUAAAAUUGUUUUGUAGCUGUUUGUUUUAGUCUUAGUAGUUUUUGCAUAUUUUUAUUAAGAAAUUUUAUAUCUUUAUUUCCUAUGUAUUUUUCUAUAUUUAUUUUUAUCUGUUUUUCUAGUAACUGCAUAUUUUCUAAAAAUUUUAUGUAACUUAUCAUCGUAAAUAUUUGUAAGAGUAGUUAGGUAGAUAUGGUAUAUAAUUUACUCUAGUCAUGUAAUAUUCACCAAAAGCUUUUUCUAAUAUGAUUUUUCUUAUAUCUGCUACUUUUAUAUUUCUAAGUGCAUACAAAAUAAGUAUUUUGAAUUUAUCUACCAUCACAUCAGAUAUAUUAUCAUUCAUUUUCAUAAAUUUGCUUUUUUCAAAAUAUUCCCUUCAACCAUGUACAUAAAAUAUAGUCAUCUUAGCUUACUA
Molecule: long non-coding RNA, 1054 nt
Filed under: Capsicum annuum
Lineage: Eukaryota; Viridiplantae; Streptophyta; Magnoliopsida; Solanales; Solanaceae
Description: long non-coding RNA (CANN_LNC022551)
Source: RNAcentral